Schistosoma mattheei is the source of this 45-nucleotide non-coding RNA. NCBI's taxonomy places the organism in Eukaryota, Metazoa, Platyhelminthes, Trematoda, Strigeidida, Schistosomatidae. The record is from Rfam.
AUCCAGUUGACCAUUCCCAAACAGGACGAAACGCGCGUCCUGCAU